This is a non-coding RNA of Oryza glumipatula, 199 nucleotides long. Lineage: Eukaryota; Viridiplantae; Streptophyta; Magnoliopsida; Poales; Poaceae. The record is from Rfam.
GUCAAGCCAUGAAGUCCUGAGUUUCUGUGUCCAACGUUUAACCGUCCAUCUUAUUUAAAAAAAAUUAAAAAGACAAGUCAUGUAUAAAGCAUUAAUCAUGUUUUAUCAUCUAACAAUAAUAAAAAUACUAAUUAUAAAAAAAAUUUAAAUAAGACGGACGGUCAAACGUUGGACACGGAAAUUCAUGGUUUAUCUUUUU